CUUGAUCUUAUCUGAGUGCUCACGAGCGGGCUUCUGCUCUACUUCAGGCCUCGGAUCUCGCCCUCGUUGCCGUCACUCCGAUUGUUUUCGGUCUGUGCGCUUGGUUGCUUGGGCUGUAUGGAUCGUGUGCCGCUCGGGGUAGAAACAGGGGCUCGCGUGGUUGUGCACAAUGACGCCUGCCCGCUAAGCAAGCUCUGUAAUCAAAGAGCCGUGAUGCGACCUGCGGGCUACCCCCUCCCUUUCAAAUCAGUACUGAGGUCUUAUGGUUUUUUGUCUUCGUGCCGUAAUAGGAGCAUGUGGUUGAAGGCGAUGAUGGAGCUUGUAUUUUUGACUUUGUGAGGAAGUGUUAAGUUUUGGGGUCUCUCUUGUGAACCUGUACCCUCACCAUCGUGCUGCAGGUAUGGGGUAGCAAGGUUGAAGUCGCCUUGUAUUUAUGUCUUUCUCACUUGUGAUGAACCUCUUACUCAGCUGAGCCUUUGGAGGAUUGUGUUACAAUAUAUUCUCAAGAUAAUUUGUUAUCAAAUGUAGUAGCUGAUAAUUCCGUGUCAUUUGUUACAGUCUGAGAAGGAAUGUGAUGAUAUUUGCAGGUACUGCCUACACGGCUUUUUCAUCAGUAUCAUGUUGGUGCCAUCAUAGCUCAUGGCUGGCUUACCAUAGUCGCCGGGCAAUGAAAGUGUACUCUGAUAUUGGCGGUCAACUGGGGAAAUAUCACUAGAUUAUCUGAUUCCUUUCGCGUGAGCGUCAUGUCAAAUAUAGCUUUUUAAUGUAGCAUCGUAAAAUAACGCAGCUGAAGCUAUUGGCUUAACUUGAUGAUAACUUGUGCAUUGCUCAAAUUUAAUUUGGAAAAAGAUUCUCAUAAUCACUAUGCUCUAUCGAGUAGUAUGCAGAUCAGCUUGGUAAAUGAAAAUAUACACAAACUGCCACUUUGUUAUCCAAACAAAAAUUUGAAUGGAGAAUAAUUAAUGAAUCUUCAAAAAUUUUUAGUCCUACACAAAUG
Molecule: non-coding RNA, 997 nt
Organism: Physcomitrium patens
Lineage: Eukaryota; Viridiplantae; Streptophyta; Bryopsida; Funariales; Funariaceae
Source: RefSeq, a predicted model, not a curated record